RNAcentral lists this transfer RNA (72 nucleotides) under Toxoplasma gondii GT1. Its description in RNAcentral is "tRNA-Val". Lineage: Eukaryota; Apicomplexa; Conoidasida; Eucoccidiorida; Sarcocystidae. The record is from RNAcentral. RNAcentral also lists the same sequence under 2 other names.
AGGCUAGUCGCUCAAGGGUAGAGCAUGCUGUCGACAGGGGCGUAGUGUCUGGUUCGAUUCCAGCGUGGCCUA